UAAUAAAGUUUUCUCCGAGCCUUAUUUCCUAAAGUAGAUGCUAUGGAAUGAGGUCUGGACUGAGUCCACGGAGUAAUAGAAGAAAUUCUAUUACUUGCUGUAUGCGAAGGAGAUGCAUGAAAAAAUGG
RNAcentral lists this non-coding RNA (128 nucleotides) under Desulfitobacterium metallireducens. RNAcentral describes it as "MoCo sequence". It matches the Rfam family "Molybdenum/Tungsten riboswitch aptamer (Moco RNA motif)". RNAcentral also lists the same sequence under 1 other name. The record is from RNAcentral. Lineage: Bacteria; Bacillati; Bacillota; Clostridia; Eubacteriales; Desulfitobacteriaceae.